CUUUCGACUCUCUCUCUCUGUCUCUCGGAGAAGAAAGAGAUUCAUCAUCUUCUCUCACCAUUAAUCUUCCUUGCCAAAGAUUUUCGAGCCCAUUCAUAAGAUUCCGGUGAAUUUUCCGAGAAACGAUGUCAAUAUUGUGCAACAAUGGCCGCAAAAGAGAUAAGAGAAGAGGAAGAAGAAAAGAGAAAGAAACAACGAUAGAAGAGACUCAUCAAUGUUGUUGUUGUUGCGUGUGGCCUCCAUUUUCAAUGGUUAGAGGAAUAAAGAGAUGUUUCUUCCUCUCAUGUUAUCCAUUUAUUCGAUGUUUAGGAUUGGAAGAGAGAAGACAUCGUCAUCAUCUUCAUCACCACAACCACUUUUUAUGAUUCCUUUUGUGUAUAAAGAUUACUAUAGGGCAUGUGAAAACAUUUCUUGAUUUCAAGAAAAACAUGUAAAAUAAUCAAAUAAGGAAUCAAGACACAAUGAAAACGUUUCAUGGUUAGGGCU
This 486-nucleotide long non-coding RNA is filed under the name Arabidopsis thaliana (thale cress). RNAcentral describes it as "partial TCONS_00016715". Lineage: Eukaryota; Viridiplantae; Streptophyta; Magnoliopsida; Brassicales; Brassicaceae. The record is from RNAcentral.